GAUAUUUGACAAUGGGGGCAACCCUGAUCCAGCCAUGUUGCGUGUGUUAAGAAGGGCUUCGGCUUGUAAAGCUCUUUAAGUUGGGAGGAAGGGCUUUAGGUUAAUACCCUGAAGUUUGGCCGUUAACAACAGAAUAAGCACCGGCUCACUCUGUGCGAGCAGCCGCGGUAAUACAGAGGGUGCAAGCGUUAAUCGGAAUUACUGGGCGUAAAGCGCGCGUAGGUGGUUCAGUAAGAUGGGUGUGAAAUCCCCGGGCUUAACCUGGGAACUGCUUUCAUAACUGCUGAGCUAGAGUACGGUAGAGGGUAGUGGAAUUUCCUGUGUAGCGGUGAAAUGCGUAGAUAUAGGAAGGAACACCAGUGGCGAAGGCGACUACCUGGACUGAUACUGACACUGAGGUGCGAAAGCGUGGGGAGCAAAC
RNAcentral lists this ribosomal RNA (421 nucleotides) under uncultured bacterium. Its description in RNAcentral is "partial 16S ribosomal RNA". It matches the Rfam family "Bacterial small subunit ribosomal RNA", at positions 359 to 773 of the family's 1533-position model. The record is from RNAcentral.